Molecule: ribosomal RNA, 531 nt
Filed under: uncultured prokaryote
Description: bacterial SSU rRNA
Rfam family: Bacterial small subunit ribosomal RNA
Source: RNAcentral
CUAGAAAAUUGCACAAUGGGCGCAAGCCUGAUGCAGCGACGCCGCGUGCGGGAUGAAGUCUUUCGGGAUGUAAACCGCUGACAGGGGGGACGAUGGCAUUUGCAGCUAAUAUCUGCAGAUGUUGACGGUACCCCCAAAGAAGCACCGGCUAACUACGUGCCAGCAGCCGCGGUAAUACGUAGGGUGCAAGCGUUGCCCGGAUUCACUGGGCGUAAAGGGUGCGUAGGCGGAUCCGCAAGUCGAUUGUGAAAUCUCCGGGCUCAACCCGGAAACUGCGGUCGAUACUGCAGAUCUAGAGGACAGAAGAGGAGAGCGGAACUCCUGGUGUAGCGGUAAAAUGCGUGGAUAUCAGGAGGAACGCCUAUGGCGAAAGCAGCUCUCUGGUAUGUUCCUGACGCUGAAGCACGAAAGCUAAGGUAGCAAACCGGAUUAGAUACCCGGGUAGUCUUAGCCGUAAACAAUGUACACUAGGUAUUGGCAAUGGUCAGUGCCGCAGCUAACGCGAUAAGUGUACCGCCUGGGACUACGCCG